RNAcentral lists this non-coding RNA (759 nucleotides) under Capitulum mitella. Lineage: Eukaryota; Metazoa; Arthropoda; Thecostraca; Pollicipedomorpha; Pollicipedidae. The record is from RNAcentral.
AGAAAGAGUUUUGAUUGUUUAGGUCCGUGUUAUUGUUUUAGCUUCGCAGUGGUUCUACAUGUAAGUUUAAGCGGGAAAUUGGGAGCCGAAUGGUUUUAUGAAAUUCUCAGUAGAAAGUAUUAGAGUAUGAAUGGAGUUUUAUCUAGGUAACUGGAAAAGAGUGGAAAAUAGCGUGCCAGCAGCCGCGGUUAUACGUAUGCUCUGAGUUAAAACUCGUAGACGAGAACAAACUGACUACACAGAGGAUAAGAUUUGUUUUGAUUAUUGGGUAAAAUUUUUAUUUAAAUGAUGAUUAUAAAAAAAUCAGUUUGAAAGAGUGUGCCUGUGGACCAGGAUUAGAUACCCUGUUACUCACACUUUGUUAUGCUUGGAAUAGUAGUAAUAAUGAAAUUUAUUGGAUUUGGCGGCAAAAUAGACCUUUUAGAGGAACCUGCCCUGUAAACGAUGAUCCACGAGAUACUUAACUUCUGUUAGUAAUCAGUUUGUAUACCGUUGUUGUCAGUAAGACUUUUUAAGGUACUUACAAUAAUGAGAAUUCCAUUGACUUCAAAUAAAGGUGCAGCUUAUGUAGAAGAGAGAGGUGGGUUACAUUUAAUAGAAUAAAACGGAUGGCGAAACGAAAUAUCGCUUGAAGGUGGAUUUAAAAGUAAAGUCUUGAGGACUUGAUGAGAGCACUGUUUUGUGUACACACCGCCCGUCGCUCUCUUUAUAAAAUGAGAUAAGUCGUAACAAGGUAAGUGUAAUGGAAAUUGUACUUGU